RNAcentral lists this long non-coding RNA (895 nucleotides) under Spirodela polyrhiza (greater duckweed). Its description in RNAcentral is "long non-coding RNA (SPOL_LNC001907)". Lineage: Eukaryota; Viridiplantae; Streptophyta; Magnoliopsida; Alismatales; Araceae. The record is from RNAcentral.
UCCCUGCGGGUGCCAAGACCUCCAUAUGAUGUAUUUCAAUCCACACCAUCCUCAGGAGUGUUUUUGUCCUUUGCGAGCAAGAGUUUUUCAUGAUACAGCAUCUUCAAGCUGCAGAAAUUCAAUCCAGAAUGAAGCAAGCAAGCCAUCUCCCCUGAUAUCAUACGUGACAAUCAAGAUAUCUUGAUCAAGCAGAAAUCCCCAGCAAGAUUAUGACAUGUACCAGAUGGCCUCUUAACCUCGUUAGGCCUUCACCUAAGAAGGCAAUACUCAAUUUGCACUAUCCGAUCCUCGGAUUCCAAAUUAUGAAAGCGUCUCAUGAGCAAAAUAUUCUCUGAAAGUCAUCGAAUCCCUCGAUUCCUAUCAUCCUUCUUCCUCAACAAUCUCUGGGUCAGCCUUAGGACAGCCCAGCGAAGGACCCAUUUAAGAAGAUAGAAGCAGGGUUCCUCUCUAAAGUGUGAAGAACAAUAGAUAACACCACUGUUUUGUCAAAUUUUAUGAUACAUCUGAUUAUCACGUGCUGGCUCCUGAUGAAUAGAAACACAGAGGAAAAGAGAGCUGCGACACUUAGCACUUUCCAUCUUUCUUCGCAAGAAAUGCAGCAAUCUCAACUGCGUCACAGGGAUCAGUGAGGCUAAAGGCAGGCAAAUAUACUAUGGAAGAUAAGGAUCAAAAGACAGAAAAGAAAAACGGCAGAAAAGAGAAAGAAAAGGCCAGGCGGAACAGACACUUACCAGGAAAAAUCCCAUUGAGAGCAACCUUCUGCAUCAGAGAUCGUUUGAUCCAUCUUUUUUUACGCUCCAAAGAAUUAAACCUCUCAAGCUCACCCUACAACACGAGAAAAAUUAAUGUCAUACAAUCCAUGAUUGAAUGCAAGAACGAGAUAAAGAAAUCCAAA